Molecule: long non-coding RNA, 398 nt
Organism: Perca flavescens (yellow perch)
Lineage: Eukaryota; Metazoa; Chordata; Actinopteri; Perciformes; Percidae
Exons: 3
Source: RefSeq, a predicted model, not a curated record
GUGUUGACAAGCUAAAGGUUAGAGCGCUGUGGGCUAAACAAAACGCUGAAGAUGGUUGGGGAAACACCACACAGUGUGCUAGUUUCAACCAGGCCACCUUUGCCAUGCAGCUUCACCCCUCCAGCCAUGCUCCAUCAGCCUUACUCCACCGCUCCAUUCCUCUUCCUCACCUGCCAACUCCGGAAUCCAUCCUACCUCCACACCAACAUGCAAUAUUCCGGUGACAAUAGGUGGUAGUGAUGCCCUUUUCGGUGGCAAUUCACCAUGAAGAAGAAGAGUCAAAUGUAUGCAAUUGUCAUUUCCAGUAAGUGCAUCGCGGCUGUGCGCAAUUCACCACCACUAAGUGAGUACAUAGUUUACAGUAUACUACAUGUGAGUGUACUAAAGAUAGUAUCUGA